UGCCUCAGUAACGGCGAGUGAAGCGGCAACAGCUCAAAUUUGAAAUCUGGCUCUUUUAGGGUCCGAGUUGUAAUUUGGAGAAGAUGCUUCGGGUGUGGCCCCGGCCUAAGUUCCUUGGAACAGGACGUCACAGAGGGUGAGAAUCCCGUACGUGGCCGGUGGCCUCGCCCAUGUGAAGCUCUUUCGACGAGUCGAGUUGUUUGGGAAUGCAGCUCAAAAUGGGUGGUAUAUUUCAUCUAAAGCUAAAUAUUGGCCAGAGACCGAUAGCGCACAAGUAGAGUGAUCGAAAGAUGAAAAGCACUUUGGAAAGAGAGUUAAACAGUACGUGAAAUUGUUGAAAGGGAAGCGCUUGCAACCAGACUUGCGCGCGGUUGAUCAUCCGGUGUUCGCACCGGUGCACUCGACCGCGCGCAGGCCAGCAUCGGUUUGGGCGGUUGGAUAAAGGCCCCAGGAAUGUGGCUCUCUUCGGGGAGUGUUAUAGCCUGGGGCGCAAUGCAGCCUGCCCGGACCGAGGACCGCGCUUCGGCUAGGAUGCUGGCGUAAUGGUUGUCAGCGA
This 556-nucleotide ribosomal RNA is filed under the name Myxotrichum persicum. RNAcentral's name for it is "partial large subunit ribosomal RNA". It matches the Rfam family "Eukaryotic large subunit ribosomal RNA", at positions 76 to 647 of the family's 3401-position model. The record is from RNAcentral. Lineage: Eukaryota; Fungi; Ascomycota; Leotiomycetes; Myxotrichaceae.